This 221-nucleotide unclassified non-coding RNA is filed under the name Hevea brasiliensis (rubber tree). Lineage: Eukaryota; Viridiplantae; Streptophyta; Magnoliopsida; Malpighiales; Euphorbiaceae. The record is from RNAcentral.
GAGGAGGCGCUUGGUGGCCGCAGGCAGUUUCACGGUGCCAAGGAGCUCUUCUUAUCUGACCAUUACGAUGUGCAGAGUGCUCACACUAUUGAAGGGAAGUGUACAGUUCACUCUUUUAAGAAUUAUACCAAGCUUGAGAAUGUUGGGGCUGAGGAUUAUUAUUGUAGGUUUGAGUACAAGGCUGCUACGGGAGGCUUCACGCCUGACCGCGUUGCUGUGUA